UCGGGAAUUUUGGGCAAUGGGCGAAAGCCUGACCCAGCAACGCCGCGUGAAGGAUGAAGUAUUUCGGUAUGUAAACUUCGAAAGAAUAGGAAGAAUAAAUGACGGUACUAUUUAUAAGGUCCGGCUAACUACGUGCCAGCAGCCGCGGUAAUACGUAGGGACCAAGCGUUGUUCGGAUUUACUGGGCGUAAAGGGCGCGUAGGCGGCAAUUCAAGUCAUCUGUGAAAUCUCCGGGCUUAACUCGGAACGGUCAGAUGAUACUGCUUUGCUAGAGUGCAGAAGGGGCAAUCGGAAUUCUUGGUGUAGCGGUGAAAUGCGUAGAUAUCAAGAGGAACACCUGAGGCGAAGGCGGGUUGCUGGGCUGAUACUGACGCUGAAGCGCGAAAGCUAGGGUAGCAAACGGGAUUAGAUACCCCCGUAGUCCCUGAGCGGGCUGGCAAGGCGCAU
RNAcentral lists this ribosomal RNA (447 nucleotides) under uncultured bacterium. Its description in RNAcentral is "bacterial SSU rRNA". It matches the Rfam family "Bacterial small subunit ribosomal RNA", at positions 355 to 825 of the family's 1533-position model. The record is from RNAcentral.